UGCCAGCCGCCGCGGUAAUACGGAGGGUGCAAGCGUUAUCCGGAAUCACUGGGUUUAAAGGGUGCGUAGGCGGGUAUAUAAGUCAGAGGUGAAAGCUCACAGCUUAACUGUGGAAUUGCCUUUGAUACUGUAUAUCUUGAAUUGUGUUGAGGUUAGCGGAAUGAGUCAUGUAGCGGUGAAAUGCAUAGAUAUGACUUAGAACACCAAUUGCGAAGGCAGCUAGCUAGGCAUUGAUUGACGCUGAGGCACGAAAGCGUGGGGAGCGAACAGGAUUAGAUA
This 279-nucleotide ribosomal RNA is filed under the name uncultured bacterium. RNAcentral describes it as "partial 16S ribosomal RNA". It matches the Rfam family "Bacterial small subunit ribosomal RNA", at positions 506 to 784 of the family's 1533-position model. The record is from RNAcentral.